Molecule: long non-coding RNA, 462 nt
Organism: Lutra lutra (Eurasian river otter)
Lineage: Eukaryota; Metazoa; Chordata; Mammalia; Carnivora; Mustelidae
Exons: 4
Source: RefSeq, a predicted model, not a curated record
GCUUUUUAAUUUGAUAAUGCUCUACCUGUGGAGGAGGGACUGUGGGACCAAGAGGACCCUGAAAAAUUCCCAAACAUGAAAGUCUGCAAAUUCACUAAUAGUCUUAAUCCAGAGGAAGAGGAAUAUUCAAAUUUGCAUGGGGAAGACUGCAUGCACAUGACAGAAGGCAGAGAGAGGAGCACUUACAGCCGAAGCUUGGCGUGGUUCAGGCCGCUCUCCCAAGCUCUGGAAACAGCUGUUGGAGAAGUCAGAGUUGACUUCCAGCAGCUAUUGUAGAAGAAGGAAGGCAGAAUACUCCACUGUUACCUCAGAAUACCUGAUGGCUCAUUAACAGGUUCUAUGCAAGCAGAUGAGUGCCACAGCUGUACCUGAGGCACAGACCGCUAAACAUAGUGAAGCCAAUUUCCACGAUGGCAAGCGGGGGCACCGGAGGUGACAACAAUGACAAGGACCUAGGGACCA